This 376-nucleotide unclassified non-coding RNA is filed under the name soil metagenome. RNAcentral describes it as "partial contains 5.8S ribosomal RNA, internal transcribed spacer 2, and large subunit ribosomal RNA". The stretch from base 1 to 120 matches the Rfam family "5.8S ribosomal RNA", at positions 35 to 154 of the family's 154-position model. The record is from RNAcentral.
GAUGAAGAACGUAGCGAAAUGCGAUGAGUAAUGUGAAUUGCAGAAUUCAGUGAAUCAUCGAAUCUUUGAACGCAUCUUGCGCUCCUUGGUAUUCUGAGGAGCAUGCCUGUUUGAGUGUCAUUAAAUUCUCAACUACACUGACUUUGAAUUGGUGUGGCUUGGAGUUGGGGGGAAAAUUGUUGUGGGCUUUUUGUAUAGUCUGCUCCCCUGAAAUUGAUUAGCGGUACCUUUGUGGAACUGUCUACAGGUGUGAUAAUUAUCUACAUCUUAGACAUCUGCUGGAAUGCUGCUUUCUAAACCUUACUUGUAUUGACAAUCUUGACCUCAAAUCAGGUAGGACUACCCGCUGAACUUAAGCAUAUCAAUAAGCGGAGGA